This 257-nucleotide unclassified non-coding RNA is filed under the name uncultured Xylariales. RNAcentral describes it as "sequence contains 5.8S rRNA gene, ITS2, 28S rRNA gene". Lineage: Eukaryota; Fungi; Ascomycota; Sordariomycetes; Xylariales. The record is from RNAcentral.
AACGCACAUUGCGCCCAUUAGUAUUCUAGUGGGCAUGCCUAUUCGAGCGUCAUUUCGACCCUUAAGCCCUCGUUGCUUAGCGUUGGGAGCCUGCGUCCCCUAGGGGCGCAGUUCCUCAAAGUUAGUGGCGGAGCUAGGGCACACUCUAAGCGUAGUAAGCUAUUCUCGCUUCUGUGGUGUACCUGGCUUCCUGCCGUAAAACCCCUAUACAUCUAGUGGUUGACCUCGAAUUAGGUAGGAAUACCCGCUGAACUUAA